Molecule: ribosomal RNA, 402 nt
Filed under: uncultured Rhizomicrobium sp.
Lineage: Bacteria; Pseudomonadati; Pseudomonadota; Alphaproteobacteria; Micropepsales; Micropepsaceae
Description: bacterial SSU rRNA
Rfam family: Bacterial small subunit ribosomal RNA
Source: RNAcentral
AGUUGGGAAUCUUGGACAAUGGGGGAAACCCUGAUCCAGCCAUGCCGCGUGAGUGAUGAAGGCCUUCGGGUUGUAAAACUCUUUCGACGGGGACGAUAAUGACGGUACCCGUAGAAGAAGCUCCGGCUAACUUCGUGCCAGCAGCCGCGGUAAUACGAAGGGGGCUAGCGUUGUUCGGAAUUACUGGGCGUAAAGCGCGCGCAGGCGGUUCUCCAAGUCAGUGGUGAAAGCCCGGAGCUCAACUCCGGAACUGCCAUUGAAACUGUUGAACUUGAGGACGAGAGAGGUGAGUGGAAUUCCCAGUGUAGAGGUGAAAUUCGUAGAUAUUGGGAAGAACACCAGUGGCGAAGGCGGCUCACUGGCUCGUUUCUGACGCUCAGGCGCGAUAGCGUGGGGAUCAAA